RNAcentral lists this ribosomal RNA (253 nucleotides) under uncultured bacterium. RNAcentral's name for it is "partial 16S ribosomal RNA". It matches the Rfam family "Bacterial small subunit ribosomal RNA", at positions 524 to 776 of the family's 1533-position model. The record is from RNAcentral.
UACGAAGGGUGCAAACGUUGCUCGGAAUUAUUGGGCGUAAAGCGCACGUAGGCGGCUUAGCAAGUUGAAUGUGAAAUCCCUCGGCUUAACCAAGGAAGUGCAUCCAAAACUGCUGAGCUUGAGUACUUAAGAGGAUCGCGGAAUUCCCGGUGUAGAGGUGAAAUUCGUAGAUAUCGGGAGGAACACCAGUGGCGAAGGCGGCGAUCUGGGAAGAUACUGACGCUGAGGUGCGAAAGCGUGGGGAGCAAACAGG